This 517-nucleotide ribosomal RNA is filed under the name Crocidura nimbae. Its description in RNAcentral is "partial 16S ribosomal RNA". It matches the Rfam family "Bacterial large subunit ribosomal RNA", at positions 1835 to 2578 of the family's 2925-position model. The record is from RNAcentral. Lineage: Eukaryota; Metazoa; Chordata; Mammalia; Eulipotyphla; Soricidae.
CAUUAUCAGUAUUAGRRGCAAUGCCUGCCCAGUGACAUUAGUUAAACGGCCGCGGUAUCCUGACCGUGCAAAGGUAGCAUAAUCAUUUGUUCCUUAAUUAGGGACUUGUAUGAAUGGCCCCACGAGGGUUUGACUGUCUCUUACUUUUAAUCAGUGAAAUUGACCUUCCCGUGAAGAGGCGGGAAUACAUAAAUAAGACGAGAAGACCCUAUGGAGCUUAAAUUAAUUUGUUCAAUCAAAAUUCAAUUUUUAUCCAACAGGAAUAAUAACAUUUUAACUGAACAACAAAUUUUGGUUGGGGUGACCUCGGAGUACAAAAGAACCUCCGAGCGAUUUAACUAAGACAUACUAGUCAAGGCCAUAUAACUCAUUGAUCCAAUCAUAUUGAUCAACGGAACAAGUUACCCUAGGGAUAACAGCGCAAUCCUAUUUGAGAGUUCAUAUCGACAAUAGGGUUUACGACCUCGAUGUUGGAUCAGGACACCCAAAUGGUGCAGCAGCUAUUAAAGGUUCGUUU